This 430-nucleotide ribosomal RNA is filed under the name uncultured bacterium. RNAcentral describes it as "partial 16S ribosomal RNA". It matches the Rfam family "Bacterial small subunit ribosomal RNA", at positions 354 to 796 of the family's 1533-position model. The record is from RNAcentral.
GUGGGGAAUAUUGCACAAUGGGCGAAAGCCUGAUGCAGCAAUGCCGCGUGAGGGACGACGGCCUUCGGGUUGUAAACCUCUUUUAGCAGGGAAGAAGCGAAAGUGACGGUACCUGCAGAAAAAGCACCGGCUAACUACGUGCCAGCAGCCGCGGUAAUACGUAGGGUGCAAGCGUUGUCCGGAAUUAUUGGGCGUAAAGAGCUCGUAGGCGGUUUGUCGCGUCUGCUGUGAAAACCCGAGGCUCAACCUCGGGCCUGCAGUGGGUACGGGCAGACUAGAGUGCGGUAGGGGAGAUUGGAAUUCCUGGUGUAGCGGUGGAAUGCGCAGAUAUCAGGAGGAACACCGAUGGCGAAGGCAGAUAUCUGGGCCGUAACUGACGCUGAGGAGCGAAAGCGUGGGGAGCGAACAGGAUUAGAUACCCUAGUAGUCC